This 165-nucleotide ribosomal RNA is filed under the name Hematodinium sp. RNAcentral describes it as "partial small subunit ribosomal RNA". It matches the Rfam family "Eukaryotic small subunit ribosomal RNA", at positions 1545 to 1710 of the family's 1831-position model. The record is from RNAcentral. Lineage: Eukaryota; Dinophyceae; Syndiniales; Syndiniaceae.
GGUAAUGUUCUGACAACGCAUCGUGAUGGGGAUAGAUUAUUGGAAUUAUUAAUCUUCAACGAGGCAUUCCUAGUAAGCGCGAGUCAUCAGCUCGUGCUGAUUACGUCCCUGCCCUUUGUCCACACCUUCUCCGUCGCUCCGGAAUGACACGAUUGAUGUGAUCCG